This 345-nucleotide unclassified non-coding RNA is filed under the name soil metagenome. Its description in RNAcentral is "partial contains 5.8S ribosomal RNA, internal transcribed spacer 2, and large subunit ribosomal RNA". The stretch from base 1 to 120 matches the Rfam family "5.8S ribosomal RNA", at positions 35 to 154 of the family's 154-position model. The record is from RNAcentral.
GAUGAAGAACGUAGCGAAAUGCGAUAAGUAAUGUGAAUUGCAGAAUUCAGUGAAUCAUCGAAUCUUUGAACGCACAUUGCGCCCGCCAGAAUUCUGGCGGGCAUGCCUGUUCGAGCGUCAUUUCAACCCUCGGUCUCCCUCCGGGAGAGACCGGCGUUGGGGACCGGCACUUACCCCGCCGGCCCCGAAAUGAAGUGGCGGCCCGUCCGCGGCGACCUCUGCGUAGUAACUCCACUCGCACCGGGACCCGGGCGCGGCCACGCCGUAAAACCCCCAACUUCCGAAUGUUGACCUCGAAUCAGGUAGGAAUACCCGCUGAACUUAAGCAUAUCAAUAAGCGGAGGA